AACGCACAUUGCGCCCGUCAGUAUUCUGGCGGGCAUGCCUGUUCGAGCGUCAUUUCAACCAUCAAGCCCUGUGCUUGCGUUGGGGUUCUGCAGCUGCCGCAGUCCCCUAAAAGCAGUGGCGGACUCGCUGUCAUACCGAGCGCAGUAACAUAUCUCGCUUUGGGCGUGGCGGUGAGCACUAGCCGUUAAACAUACUACUUAAGGUUGACCUCGGAUCAGGUAGGAAUACCCGCUGAACUUAA
This 242-nucleotide unclassified non-coding RNA is filed under the name uncultured fungus. Its description in RNAcentral is "partial contains 5.8S ribosomal RNA, internal transcribed spacer 2, and large subunit ribosomal RNA". Lineage: Eukaryota; Fungi. The record is from RNAcentral.